RNAcentral lists this transfer RNA (88 nucleotides) under Deltaproteobacteria bacterium. Its description in RNAcentral is "tRNA-Leu". It matches the Rfam family "tRNA". Rfam says of the family: Transfer RNA (tRNA) molecules are approximately 80 nucleotides in length. Lineage: Bacteria; Pseudomonadati; Myxococcota; Myxococcia. RNAcentral also lists the same sequence under 1 other name. The record is from RNAcentral.
GCCUGGAUGGCGGAACUGGUAGACGCAAGGGACUUAAAAUCCCUUGGGGCUGUGCCCCGUGCGGGUUCGACCCCCGCUCCAGGCACCA